RNAcentral lists this ribosomal RNA (568 nucleotides) under uncultured bacterium. RNAcentral describes it as "partial 16S ribosomal RNA". It matches the Rfam family "Bacterial small subunit ribosomal RNA", at positions 355 to 937 of the family's 1533-position model. The record is from RNAcentral.
UGGGGAAUAUUGCACAAUGGGCGCAAGCCUGAUGCAGCAACGCCGCGUGAGGGACGACGGCCUUCGGGUUGUAAACCUCUUUUAGUAGGGAAGAAGCGAAAGUGACGGUACCUGCAGAAAAAGCACCGGCUAACUACGUGCCAGCAGCCGCGGUAAUACGUAGGGUGCGAGCGUUGUCCGGAAUUAUUGGGCGUAAAGAGCUCGUAGGCGGUCUGUCGCGUCUGCUGUGAAAACCCGAGGCUCAACCUCGGGCCUGCAGUGGGUACGGGCAGACUAGAGUGCGGUAGGGGAGAAUGGAAUUCCUGGUGUAGCGGUGGAAUGCGCAGAUAUCAGGAGGAACACCGAUGGCGAAGGCAGUUCUCUGGGCCGUAACUGACGCUGAGGAGCGAAAGCGUGGGGAGCGAACAGGAUUAGAUACCCUGGUAGUCCACGCCGUAAAACGUUGGGCGCUAGAUGUGGGGACCAUUCCACGGUUUCCGUGUCGCAGCUAACGCAUUAAGCGCCCCGCCUGGGGAGUACGGCCGCAAGGCUAAAACUCAAAUGAAUUGACGGGGUCAUAGCUGUUCCU